This 493-nucleotide ribosomal RNA is filed under the name uncultured bacterium. Its description in RNAcentral is "bacterial SSU rRNA". It matches the Rfam family "Bacterial small subunit ribosomal RNA", at positions 8 to 494 of the family's 1533-position model. The record is from RNAcentral.
AGAGUUUGAUCAUGGCUCAGAUUGAACGCUGGCGGCAUGCUUAAUACAUGCAAGUCGAACGGUAACAUGCCCUCCGGGGUGAUGACGAGUGGCGGACGGGUGAGUAACGCAUAGGAAUCUACCUAGUAGUGGGGGACAACUUGGGGAAACUCAAGCUAAUACCGCAUACAUCCUACGGGAAAAAGAGGGCCUCUUCUUGAAAGCUCUUGCUAUUAGAUGAGCCUAUGUCAGAUUAGCUUGUUGGUGGGGUAACGGCCUACCAAGGCGACGAUCUGUAGCUGGUCUGAGAGGAUGAUCAGCCACACUGGGACUGAGACACGGCCCAGACUCCUACGGGAGGCAGCAGUAGGGAAUAUUGGACAAUGGGCGCAAGCCUGAUCCAGCAAUGCCGCGUGUGUGAAGAAGGCCUGCGGGUUGUAAAGCACUUUCCAUUAGGAAGAAAAGCUCAAGGUUAAUAACCUUGAGUCUUGACAUUAUCAAUAGAAGAAGCACC